Chiloscyllium plagiosum (whitespotted bambooshark) is the source of this 112-nucleotide non-coding RNA. Lineage: Eukaryota; Metazoa; Chordata; Chondrichthyes; Orectolobiformes; Hemiscylliidae. The record is from RefSeq and is a predicted model, not a curated record.
CCAGAGAAACCCAGUGACUACUAUCCACCAGAAAAACCGAUCGACUACUAUCCACCAGAGAAACCCAGUGACUACUAUCCACCAGAAAAACCGAUCGACUACUAUCCACCAG